This 338-nucleotide unclassified non-coding RNA is filed under the name soil metagenome. Its description in RNAcentral is "partial contains 5.8S ribosomal RNA, internal transcribed spacer 2, and large subunit ribosomal RNA". The stretch from base 1 to 120 matches the Rfam family "5.8S ribosomal RNA", at positions 35 to 154 of the family's 154-position model. The record is from RNAcentral.
GAUGAAGAACGUAGCGAAAUGCGAUAAGUAGUGUGAAUUGCAGAAUUCAGUGAAUCAUCGAAUCUUUGAACGCACAUUGCGCCCCUUGGUAUUCCAUGGGGCAUGCCUGUUCGAGCGUCAUUUGAACCCUCAAGCUCUGCUUGGUGUUGGGUGUUUGUCCCGCCAUUGCGCGUGGACUCGCCUUAAAGCAAUUGGCAGCCAUGUAAUCCGGCUUUGAGCGCAGCACAUUGCGUACUCUCUACUGGGACAUGGGCAUCCAGAAGCCUUAUUAUUUUUACUCUUGACCUCGGAUCAGGUAGGGAUACCCGCUGAACUUAAGCAUAUCAAUAAGCGGAGGA